GCUCGUAGCCCAGCCUACCUCCCGCGGCUAUAUACUUACAUUCAUGUUACUCGUAUUUCUUAUGUCUUCAACAACCUCGAGCAGCUGUGAGAAAAGCAAGUUCUGGAAGGACCGAGAGCGAGCUUCCAGUUUUUGCUCAGUCAUCAGCGACAAAAGUGUUCGAGAACGAAGAGAGAGCACUAAUUUGUGAACAUGAGCUUCUUCUUUGAGCUGUGCGAGGAAACACCCACAAAAGAGCCCUGACAACCGAGAAGCAGGAGGGAGAAGGAUGAAGGCUCACAAUGGGAGAUCAACAUCUCUGCAUCCGCAAAGCCUCACAGACCCUUUCCAGUGGUCCCCUUAAUCUAUUAUUCAAUCCCUUCAGGUACUGGAAAAGUUGUUGGUUUUCAAACCGACGUCAAUCGGCAGGAUAACGUGAAACCGGACACAACAGGUGGUGCAAGACUGUAUGGUAAAGAAAACUGCUGGUGUAGUUAUUAUCAUACUUAUUUAAAAUAAUAAUAAUAAUAAUAAUUUGAGGUUAUGAUUACAUGCAUUUCAUAGAAUUGAUUUAUAACAAAAUAUAUUUUUGCCAUGAUUCAAUGUCACUGAUCUAUCUAAAAGAUUUAAGAUGCAACUAGUAUACAAACAUAUUUCAUGGCUUAUAUACUGUAGUGUUGUGGGCCCGAGUCCCCAGCGAACUCUGUCAGUGGUGGAAUGCGGUUAAUCUUCUCAAGAACUAGAGGUUUUGAGGUACUUUUCUUUAUGGAUUUUGGUUUCUUUGCAUCUAAACACUACUUACUGGUGUUUCUGCAUGGUAAUAAUUCACAUGUAAAAUAAAAAAUCUCAUUUUUACAGAUUAAAUUAUCCCAACAAUGUAUACAGUAGGUCAAAUGAACUGCAUAUCUAGGCCUGUCUUAGCAUUCAAUUGCUAAUUUAUGGAGUGGUAGUAAUAAUAAAUAUAUUAUAUAUAGACACACUGGCAGUAGUUCAUUCUACUUAAUUUAUUAAUUUGCAUUUUCUUAAUAAAACUUUUGCACCGUAA
This is a long non-coding RNA of Mugil cephalus (flathead mullet), 1024 nucleotides long. RefSeq lists it as uncharacterized. The transcript is spliced from 2 exons. NCBI's taxonomy places the organism in Eukaryota, Metazoa, Chordata, Actinopteri, Mugiliformes, Mugilidae. The record is from RefSeq and is a predicted model, not a curated record.